This 937-nucleotide ribosomal RNA is filed under the name uncultured archaeon. RNAcentral describes it as "bacterial SSU rRNA". It matches the Rfam family "Archaeal small subunit ribosomal RNA", at positions 40 to 978 of the family's 1478-position model. The record is from RNAcentral.
UCGCUAGCCAUGCGAGUCAUAUGUUCUUCGUGAACAUGGCGUACUGCUCAGUAACACGUGGAUAACCUGCCCUUGGGUCCGGCAUAACCCCGGGAAACUGGGGAUAAUUCCGGAUAACGCAUAUAUGCUGGAAUGCUUUCUGCGUAAAAUGGAUUCGUCUGCCCAAGGAUGGGUCUGCGGCCUAUCAGGUAGUAGUGGGUGUAAUGUACCUACUAGCCGACGACGGGUACGGGUUGUGAGAGCAAGAGCCCGGAGAUGGAUUCUGAGACAUGAAUCCAGGCCCUACGGGGCGCAGCAGGCGCGAAAACUUUACAAUGCGGGAAACCGUGAUAAGGGGACACCGAGUGCCAGCAUCAUAUGCUGGCUGUCCGGGUGUGUAAAAUACACCCGUUAGCAAGGGCCGGGCAAGACCGGUGCCAGCCGCCGCGGUAACACCGGCGGCCCGAGCGGUGAUCGUGAUUAUUGGGUCUAAAGGGUCCGUAGCCGGUUUGGUCAGUCCUCCGGGAAAUCUGAUAGCUCAACUAUUAGGCUUUCGGGGGAUACUGCCAGGCUUGGAACCGGGAGAGGUAAGAGGUACUACAGGGGUAGGAGUGAAAUCUUGUAAUCCCUGUGGGACCACCUGUGGCGAAGGCGUCUUACCAGAACGGGUUCGACGGUGAGGGACGAAAGCUGGGGGCACGAACCGGAUUAGAUACCCGGGUAGUCCCAGCCGUAAACGAUGCUCGCUAGGUGUCAGGCAUGGCGCGACCGUGUCUGGUGCCGCAGGGAAGCCGUGAAGCGAGCCACCUGGGAAGUACGGCCGCAAGGCUGAAACUUAAAGGAAUUGGCGGGGGAGCACAACAACGGGUGGAGCCUGCGGUUUAAUUGGACUCAACGCCGGACAACUCACCGGGGGCGACAGCAAUAUGUAGGCCAAGCUGAAGACUUUGCCUGAAUC